Molecule: microRNA precursor, 76 nt
Filed under: Nipponia nippon (crested ibis)
Lineage: Eukaryota; Metazoa; Chordata; Aves; Pelecaniformes; Threskiornithidae
Also listed under: 1 other name
Description: mir-202 microRNA precursor family
Rfam family: mir-202 microRNA precursor family
Source: Rfam by way of RNAcentral
UUGUUCCUUUUUCCUAUGCAUAUACUUCUUUGAGAACUGGAUCUAAAGAGGCAUAAGGCAUGGGAAAAUGGGGCGA